CCAGAGAACUUAGCAGAGAUGCUUUGGUGCCUUCGGGAACUCUGAGACAGGUGCUGCAUGGCUGUCGUCAGCUCGUGUUGUGAAAUGUUGGGUUAAGUCCCGCAACGAGCGCAACCCUUAUCCUUUGUUGCCAGCGGUUCGGCCGGGAACUCAAAGGAGACUGCCGGUGAUAAGCCGGAGGAAGGUGGGGAUGACGUCAAGUCAUCAUGGCCCUUACGGCCAGGGCUACACACGUGCUACAAUGGCGCAUACAAAGAGAAGCGACCUCGCGAGAGCAAGCGGACCUCAUAAAGUGCGUCGUAGUCCGGAUUGGAGUCUGCAACUCGACUCCAUGAAGUCGGAAUCGCUAGUAAUCGUAGAUCAGAAUGCUACGGUGAAUACGUUCCCGGGCCUUGUACACACCGCCCGUCACACCAUGGGAGUGGGUUGCAAAAGAAGUAGGUAGCUUAACCUUCGGGAGGGCGCUUACCACUUUGUGAUUCAUGACUGGGGUGAAGUCGUAACAAGGUAAGCGUAGUGCU
RNAcentral lists this ribosomal RNA (521 nucleotides) under uncultured bacterium. Its description in RNAcentral is "bacterial SSU rRNA". It matches the Rfam family "Bacterial small subunit ribosomal RNA", at positions 988 to 1509 of the family's 1533-position model. The record is from RNAcentral.